AGAUCCUUUUAAAUCAGUCCAGAGAGGCUGGCAAAGGUCAAGAUAUAAGCCAAAAAUUAUAUUUUUUAAUUUUUUGGCUAACUAUGUCAGCUUUAACCUUCAAACCAUUCUUUCUGGUAUGAAGGUUUUUUUUA
This is a regulatory RNA element of Halanaerobium praevalens DSM 2228, 134 nucleotides long. It matches the Rfam family "PyrR binding site". Rfam says of the family: This family represents the PyrR binding site and terminator structure. This RNA structure is found upstream of a variety of genes involved in pyrimidine biosynthesis and transport. The record is from Rfam. NCBI's taxonomy places the organism in Bacteria, Bacillati, Bacillota, Clostridia, Halanaerobiales, Halanaerobiaceae.